UUCGUAGAGUGCAAAGGCAUAAGGGAGCUUGACUGCGAGACCUACAAGUCGAGCAGGGACGAAAGUCGGGCUUAGUGAUCCGGUGGUGCCGCAUGGAAGGGCCAUCGCUCAACGGAUAAAAGCUACCCCGGGGAUAACAGGCUUAUCUCCCCCAAGAGUCCACAUCGACGGGGAGGUUUGGCACCUCGAUGUCGGCUCAUCGCAUCCUGGGGCUGUAGUCGGUCCCAAGGGUUGGGCUGUUCGCCCAUUAAAGCGGUACGCGAGCUGGGUUCAGAACGUCGUGAGACAGUUCGGUCCCUAUCCGUCGUGGGCGUAGGAAAUUUGAGAGGAGC
This 332-nucleotide ribosomal RNA is filed under the name Bacillus toyonensis. RNAcentral's name for it is "partial 23S ribosomal RNA". It matches the Rfam family "Bacterial large subunit ribosomal RNA", at positions 2341 to 2672 of the family's 2925-position model. Lineage: Bacteria; Bacillati; Bacillota; Bacilli; Caryophanales; Bacillaceae. The record is from RNAcentral.